This is a long non-coding RNA of Dreissena polymorpha, 905 nucleotides long. RefSeq lists it as uncharacterized. The transcript is spliced from 2 exons. Lineage: Eukaryota; Metazoa; Mollusca; Bivalvia; Myida; Dreissenidae. The record is from RefSeq and is a predicted model, not a curated record.
GAGGACAUCCGGAAUAACCCCGAUAACUAUAUAAACAAUAACUCAAAGAUCAUUUCUUCCCACGAACAUUACAUUCACGAUCACAUAGAUCGAGUUCAUUUCAUAACUAAUCAAUUAUCAAACGAACAUAUACAUCAUUCAACACUAUUAGAUAGUCCAGCUAGUUUAUAAAAGAACUCAGAGAAAAAAACAGUACACAGUCAUAUUUGACCGAAAAAUAUAAAAGUAAUGCCUCAACUGACGCAGGUGCAAGUCCGGCCGGUAAAACCACAUGGCGACGUUAAUCAACCACACGGUAAACAAACAUGGCGACCAGAGUAGGCGUGGACGUAGGCGUGAGAGUGGAGAGUGUACCUAUUGUAUCGAAAAGUGCGACUGUAUUUGCUGGUGUUUCGUUUUUACUCGGCGUAGUUGUCGGUUACGCACUUAAAGGACUAAGAAUUUCGUAUCUGAAAAAGAAACACGAGUUUUUAAAGAGACAAACCGAAAAGACUCAAAAGGCAUUAUUAGAGUGACCCCAAGGUGAACCCCACGAUCUGAUGCAUUACAAGGGUACAAACGCAGAUCAUAUAAUAACCGAUGGAUUCUCUCCCUUUUAUGGAAGACGAUGUGGGUAAACAUUAUCAUCGAACAUCGUGAAAUAUCCAGCUUAGCCGACGAUCGAAGAAAGAUACGCAAUCUCACUUUUUUAUUAUAAUUGCGCUGGUAUCGUGGAAGCAUGCCUUUUUGCAUGUUUCUGCCAUAUUUACAAAAUGCCAUUUAUUUGUUCUUGUCUAAUAAGUAACUUUUAUAUUAUAAUUUUCUGAAUAUUUCGAUAUGGAAUUUAUGGUUAAACUGUGUAAUGCGAUUUUAUUGUUAGACUUCUAAUGACAAGUAUAAUUUGCACAUUAAAAUAACAAAUACUA